GAGAGCGGGUGAGUGCACGCGUCCUUACUGCCCUUCACUCUGGGACAAGCCCUGGAAACGGGGUCUAAUACCGGAUAACACUCUGUCCUGCAUGGGACGGGGUUGAAAGCUCCGGCGGUGAAGGAUGAGCCCGCGGCCUAUCAGCUUGUUGGUGGGGUAAUGGCCUACCAAGGCGACGACGGGUAGCCGGCCUGAGAGGGCGACCGGCCACACUGGGACUGAGACACGGCCCAGACUCCUACGGGAGGCAGCAGUGGGGAAUAUUGCACAAUGGGCGAAAGCCUGAUGCAGCGACGCCGCGUGAGGGAUGACGGCCUUCGGGUUGUAAACCUCUUUCAGCAGGGAAGAAGCGCAAGUGACGGUACCUGCAGAAGAAGCGCCGGCUAACUACGUGCCAGCAGCCGCGGUAAUACGUAGGGCGCAAGCGUUGUCCGGAAUUAUUGGGCGUAAAGAGCUCGUAGGCGGCUUGUCACGUCGGAUGUGAAAGCCCGGGGCUUAACCCCGGGUCUGCAUUCGAUACGGGCUAGCUAGAGUGUGGUAGGGGAGAUCGGAAUUCCUGGUGUAGCGGUGAAAUGCGCAGAUAUCAGGAGGAACACCGGUGGCGAAGGCGGAUCUCUGGGCCAUUACUGACGCUGAGGAGCGAAAGCGUGGGGAGCGAACAGGAUUAGAUAC
This 672-nucleotide ribosomal RNA is filed under the name Streptomyces sp. HUST009. RNAcentral's name for it is "bacterial SSU rRNA". It matches the Rfam family "Bacterial small subunit ribosomal RNA", at positions 98 to 785 of the family's 1533-position model. Lineage: Bacteria; Bacillati; Actinomycetota; Actinomycetes; Kitasatosporales; Streptomycetaceae. The record is from RNAcentral.